RNAcentral lists this transfer RNA (73 nucleotides) under Dictyocaulus viviparus (bovine lungworm). RNAcentral's name for it is "tRNA-Val". Lineage: Eukaryota; Metazoa; Nematoda; Chromadorea; Rhabditida; Metastrongylidae. The record is from RNAcentral.
UGAUCUUGGGCGGGCUCGAACCGCCGGCAUUCUAUGUGUUGGACAGAUGUGAUAACCACUACACCACGAGACC